RNAcentral lists this long non-coding RNA (225 nucleotides) under Bos taurus (domestic cattle). Its description in RNAcentral is "long non-coding RNA NONBTAT004996". The record is from RNAcentral. Lineage: Eukaryota; Metazoa; Chordata; Mammalia; Artiodactyla; Bovidae.
AGGGUGCGAAGGGCCUGUGCCAGAAGAAAACACACAGGGAAACUGCUUUUUUUUUAAAUCAAGUGUAGAGAAUAGUCAUUUUUAAACUGAAUUAGAGAAUUGUGAUCAAAUGGCAGUCCUCAAAGGCGUAACAAGUUCAUCUUUCUUUCACCAUAGGGGUUAUAGUUCUUUGGCUUGUGCUACUCUGGAUUCAUUUUACUGUUUGUUUUUAAUUAUCUUAAGUGC